UUCUGGACAAGAAGGGGACGCGAAGCCUCUUUGGAAGUCGAAUGGAUAACCCUCUACUAUUUAAAUGUCAAGUGGACUAUAUGAAAUUGAUUUUAUAGAUUAGUUCGUAUUAAUGGUUUUAGAUAUUGUAAUAACUAUUAUUGGAUUAUAUUUCACUUGUCAAAUGUUAUUAUAAAAUAGAAUAAUGUCUUAAAAGGGUAAUAUAUUUUUUUAUUUGUAUAUAUUUGGUUAUUGAGUUUUUUUUUCGUCUGCAUUUAUCCUUUCAACUUGUUAAAUUAUACACAUUCAGUCCUUAUGACCGGCUACUUCAGGUUAGCCGGUAAAAAUGACUUAAUAUGGUAAUAUAUUUCUUACUUUGUAUAUAUUUAGUCUUUAAUAUUUUUGUACAGAUUUAGUCCUUAAUAUUUUUUUGUUGCAAAAUAAAUCAUUUUUGUUUUUAUACUCUUUCAAUACUUAUUAAUGAUUUUUUUUAUGUUUUUCUCACGACAUCUUAUGUGAGACAAUCAUUAAUCAGGUGUUCGGAGCUUUUGAUGCUUAUGUCCAUCGCGAACUCGACUACUUGGUUCAGGCCCGGCCCAAAUACAUGUGUGAGAUGGGUAAAGGCCCAGGGCAGUAUAAAUGGAGGGGCAUCAGAUUAGUCCAAUAAGCAAUAUGUAUAUAUAUGUUUCGGCCCAAGAAAAUUAGCCUAAUACUCUUUUGUCUGGUGCAAGGCGUGCAAUCUGAGCGGGAAAACGGAAAAGAAUUAGCAAUAGCAGCGCAAGUUGUAUCUGCAUGUGUGAUUGCCUGAUUGCCAAUCGACGCUUCGAAAUCCGGAAGCUAUAGAAGAUUGAGAAGCUGUCUUAAUCAAAUUCAAAUUGACUAAAUGAUUUAGGGAUUCCUGUUUCCCUUUUUCUGAUCUGGUGGUUCAUUGAUUCUUGUUUGAGAUUUGUAUGAUUAGAAAACUUGGAGUCCGAAGUUGGACUCUUAGAGACUAAGAGAUUGAAGCCUUCAUUUCAGUUUUCCUGAUUUGAAUGAGUUGCAGACCAGAGUUCGAGGCCUUGUUAUUCGAAAUUAUUUUUGGAUGAAGCAUAUAAAGAUGAAAGUCCAUGAGCAUCUAUUCAAAUAACAAAGUUUACAAGAAGAAUGGAUAUGAUCCGGAAGCAUCAUGACUCAAUAAAGAUUGAAUUAGUAAGCAAAAUAUUGAAAGUCAAUUUUAACAAAGUCUUGAUUAAUGUAAAAUAAUAGUGGUUUUUAUUCAAAAAUCACAAGGCAUCCUUUUAAGUGAUUUUGUAAGUUUUUGGUUUGUAAUUGUA
Molecule: non-coding RNA, 1292 nt
Organism: Lactuca sativa (garden lettuce)
Lineage: Eukaryota; Viridiplantae; Streptophyta; Magnoliopsida; Asterales; Asteraceae
Source: RefSeq, a predicted model, not a curated record